Long non-coding RNA from Danio aesculapii, 1528 nucleotides. RefSeq lists it as uncharacterized. The transcript has 3 exons. The record is from RefSeq and is a predicted model, not a curated record. Lineage: Eukaryota; Metazoa; Chordata; Actinopteri; Cypriniformes; Danionidae.
GCUCCUGCUUGUGGUCAAUAGGUGUAUCCGCAUUAAUGAAAUAAACACAAGGUGGACGCGCAGUCAGUCGUGUGAACAGCGAAGAGAGAUUUAAGAGAUUUAAAUGUUCUCGAGGAGAUUUUACGACACGUUUGAUUUUGUGAGUGUCUCGAGCGGCAGAAGCUCGAGAUCAGCUUUAAACUGAUGGAUUAAAACAGAUGAACUGGAAAGCUCAUGUAAACACACUCAGGAGUGAAUGGGGAAUCCUCCGAGACUCUGGUGAUGAAGAAGAUGUAAAGCUCUGGGUCUAUGGAUGGUUCAAGAUAGAUGAGUCAAUGACAAUCACUCAUUUCUCAGCACAGGUUAAACCACAGCCAAACUUCAGAGGGUUGCAAGUUUCAGCAAGUUGUUUUGACCUUCAUUCAUUCUCUGGAUAUAAACUCUAGAUAUCAACAAUCAGCAUUCUUCACAUCAAGACUUCAUAUCCUGUUAAGCAAAUGCAAUAUCAGGAAUUGAACUGAAUUUCAACCAGUAAAGCUGCAGUCACUAGAGUUUGAGCAUGUGAGAUUCUGUCAUACGGCACUGAAAAGAGGCGGGAUAAAAGAAGAGGAUUGGAGAAUGAUAAAGCGAGCGACUGCCCCAUAUUUAACAUUUCUGUACAGAGAUGUCAUGUUUUAAUCUUCUAUUUCUCUCACACAAUCAUGUGAUGUGAAUUUACCAGUCACCAAUCUUGAACCUUUAAAUGCAGCAACAUCUGUCCUUCGGAUGAGACGUUAAACAGAGGUCCUGACUCUUUUUCUAAAGAGUAGGGGUGUAAUCCCGGUGUCCUGGAUAAAUUCCCUCCAUCGGCCCUUACCCAUCAUGGCCUCCCAAUCAUCCCCAUCUACAGAACUGGCUCUAUUACUGUCUCUCCACUCCCCCUAUAGCUGGUGUGUGGUGAAGCACUGGCGCCGUUAUCCUGUGGCUUUCAUCACAUCAUGGGUGCUGCACUCUGGUGGUGGUGCGGAGAUCCCUCAUGAUUGUGAAGUGGUUUGGGUGUAUUGCCAUACAGAAAAAUGCGCUAUAUAAAUACACAUUACAUUGCAUGAGAAACUUAUCACACCAGCUUGCGUUUCCAGUCUGCUGCAUGCAUAUGCAUCUGGAUGGAAGUCUAUGGGACAAAAAGAGCAGUUUUGAUCGCGGCUUAGGAAAUAUAGUUCUUGAUAUCUGUAACUGUAUUCUUACUAGUUAAAUGUCAGCAUAGGACGCCAUUCACAUUUAAUUGUUGAUAAUAAGAUGUCGUUUCCUGAAAAUGAAUAAAAAACAAAAUGGCUAGCUAUGGUCACUGCAGGAUCUGUCACGCUGCUCACGCUGCCUAGUGGAGAUUGUGGAGAACUUUGACAAGUCAUAAGUGAGAAGAUUGUAGAUUAAUAUUCAUAAAUUGGCGAACUAAACUGUGAUUUUAGUAUAUUCUCAAUUUUAUUUUCACAUGGAUUGGGUAAUGUUCACUUAUUUUUGCUGUUGAAUCACUGUUGGUAUUUAAAGCAAUGUUUGACUGCUUACUGAGUGC